UAACGAAUAUUGGGCAAUGGGCGAAAGCCUGACCCAGCAAUGCCGCGUGCAGGACGAAGUCCUUCGGGAUGUAAACUGCUGUCAGGGGUCCGCAAGCGAAGGGGUCCAACAGGCCCUGGAGUUGAGCAGCCCCAGAGGAAGCCUCGACUAACUCUGUGCCAGCAGUCGCGGUAAGACAGAGGAGGCAAGCGUUGUUCGGAAUCACUUGGCUUAACGCGCGUGUCGGCGGCUUAGAAAGUGUCGUGUGAAAUCCCGCGGCUCAACCGCGGAACUGCACGGCAAACGACUUGGCUUGAGGUCGGUAGAGGUGCCUGGAACUCUAGGUGGAGCGGUGAAAUGCGUAGAUAUCGAGAGGAACGCCAGAAGCGAAAGCGGGGCACUGGGCCGAUUCUGACGCUGAGACGCGAAAGCGUGGGGAGCAAACA
RNAcentral lists this ribosomal RNA (425 nucleotides) under uncultured prokaryote. RNAcentral describes it as "bacterial SSU rRNA". It matches the Rfam family "Bacterial small subunit ribosomal RNA", at positions 355 to 774 of the family's 1533-position model. The record is from RNAcentral.